GACGAACGCUGGCGGUGUGCCUAAUACAUGCAAGUUGAGCGCUGAAGCAUGGUACUUGUACUAACUGGAUGAGCAGCGAACGGGUGAGUAACGCGUGGGGAAUCUGCCUUUGAUCGGGGGACAACAUUUGGAAACGAAUGCUAAUACUGCAUAAAACCUUUAAACACAAGUUUCAAGUUUGAAAGAUGCAAUUGCCUCACUCAAAGAUGAUCCUGCGUUUGAUUAGUUAGUUGGUCAGGGAAAGGCCCACCAAGGCGAUGGUACAUAGCCGACCUGGAGGGGUGGUCGGGCCAAUUGGGACUGAAGAACGGCCCAAAAUUCUAAGGGAGGCAGCAGGAGGGGAACUUUGGACAUGGACGAAAGGCUGACCGCGGAACGCCGGGGGAGUGAAAGAGGUUUUCGGAUCGUUAAACUCUUUUGGUUGAGAAGAACGUUGGGGAGGGUAGAAAGCUCAUGAAGUGACGGUAACUACCCAGUAAGCGACGGCUAACUUCGUG
Molecule: ribosomal RNA, 497 nt
Filed under: uncultured bacterium
Lineage: Bacteria
Description: partial 16S ribosomal RNA
Rfam family: Bacterial small subunit ribosomal RNA
Source: RNAcentral